RNAcentral lists this microRNA precursor (93 nucleotides) under Phlebotomus papatasi. RNAcentral describes it as "microRNA mir-283". It matches the Rfam family "mir-283 microRNA precursor family". Lineage: Eukaryota; Metazoa; Arthropoda; Insecta; Diptera; Psychodidae. The record is from RNAcentral.
GCAGCAAUUGAAAGGCAAAUAUCAGUUGGUAAUUCUGGGUAAAUAUCAUUAGCCAGCCCCGGAAUUUCAGCUGAUAUUCGUUUUUUAAUUGUU